GCUGCGUUAGCUCAACCGGUAGAGCAUCCGGCUCAUAACCGGGUAGUUGCAAAUUCGAUUCCUGCACGCGGCG
Molecule: transfer RNA, 73 nt
Filed under: Caudoviricetes sp.
Lineage: Duplodnaviria; Heunggongvirae; Uroviricota; Caudoviricetes
Description: tRNA-Met
Rfam family: tRNA
About the family: Transfer RNA (tRNA) molecules are approximately 80 nucleotides in length. Their secondary structure includes four short double-helical elements and three loops (D, anti-codon, and T loops). Further hydrogen bonds mediate the characteristic L-shaped molecular structure. tRNAs have two regions of fundamental functional importance: the anti-codon, which is responsible for specific mRNA codon recognition, and the 3' end, to which the tRNAs corresponding amino acid is attached (by aminoacyl-tRNA synthetases). tRNAs cope with the degeneracy of the genetic code in two manners: having more than one tRNA (with a specific anti-codon) for a particular amino acid; and 'wobble' base-pairing, i.e. permitting non-standard base-pairing at the 3rd anti-codon position.
Source: RNAcentral